Molecule: long non-coding RNA, 1013 nt
Filed under: Physcomitrium patens
Lineage: Eukaryota; Viridiplantae; Streptophyta; Bryopsida; Funariales; Funariaceae
Description: long non-coding RNA (PPAT_LNC011849)
Source: RNAcentral
AAGCAAUCAACACAUAUGGCUCAUGGGUAGCUUGUUGACCAAGUUUCUACCCUAUUAAUCAAUUAUAAAUAUAUAUAAAAUCAAAACAGCAUUUUGAAAGCUUUUAGGAAGCUUUUUUCAAAGGUACUAUGAAAUUAACCUACUUUUAUUCAAUUCUACAUAUUCAUAUUAUUUAGAUAAUAAUUAUAGCAGACAUAUAUAUCUAUGAUAUUACUCCCCUUUCUAAAGACGAGUUCCACAAGGAGCUAUGAUUACAUGUUAAAGAAGUCUAAGAUGUGGCAAAUUAUAUUUGCUAUAUACUUUGAUCUUUGUUUUCUUCAAAUGUAGAUGAUAGGUCUUCUCAGCCAUUGGUAAUGUUCCAUUUGAGGGCGGGAAGAGCAUGUUGUGAUUUGAUCAUUGUUAUAACCUUCGUAACUUUCUUCAUAUAAAACAUUUGUAAUAUCAUUAGGAAUUGUGCCUACCUUUAAUAAAAUCAUCAAAAAUCAUGAGUAUUUUUCCAAGUAGUGAUACCAAACUCAUUAUAUCUUGCCAUCUAUUGCCAUCUAUACAAGAACAUGUUGUUCUUGUAGGUCUUCAUCCCUCUCACGUCGUCUUGAACGCUGUCAAAUGAUGGCUCUUAAGUUGAGUCCGUCACCUGUUCUUUCUCCAUCUUCUAAUACCCAGCCUUGCCCUUGUUAACUACAACCGUGAUGAGCUCAGACAAUACGCUUGACAGCAACGAUCCUGCAAACAGCUAUAAAGGUUCCAUUAUUAUUUCCUCUCUCUACCUCCUCUAAUCUAAGCUUCUCCGUUACCCUGUGCUUGUUCCUACUCCAAACCACACUGAACGUGCCCAGUGGGACACCCCAGACGAUGACUUCAACAGACCAUUUGCGCAUUACAUCGUUGCAGGGACGAGACGAGACGAGACAUAUAUAUGCGGCUGAGCUGCAAUAAUUCCUUGUGAGCACGAGCAAGCUGCAAGAGUUGGACAAAUUUUUCCACGACUCGACAAUGAAAGAUGCUUUCUAAAC